Mustela erminea (ermine) is the source of this 321-nucleotide long non-coding RNA. RefSeq lists it as uncharacterized. The transcript is spliced from 2 exons. NCBI's taxonomy places the organism in Eukaryota, Metazoa, Chordata, Mammalia, Carnivora, Mustelidae. The record is from RefSeq and is a predicted model, not a curated record.
GCAGGAAAUGGGACGUAGAAGAAUGAGUCAUUGGAAAUAGAGUCACAAAGGAAACUGGGUUCUCAGAGGAAAGACAGUUUGCAGUUAGAGCCAAGAAGAGAAGCAAAUGGAGAAGGUGAAGGUGGAAGGGUCCUGUUAUCAACCAGGGGAUUUUCCCGGAGUUCUGAAGAGAAUUGUACAAGAAUUUGUCCAGCCACUUUAACCAAACCUAUCUCCAGUUGAUAGAAAGAGGAAAAGAUAAACUGGGGAAGAAAACCUGUGAAACAUCUCCUGGGCUUUUAAUAUCAGAGGUUGAAAUAAAAAAUCAUUUUAUUAGUUGAA